Molecule: ribosomal RNA, 253 nt
Filed under: uncultured bacterium
Lineage: Bacteria
Description: partial 16S ribosomal RNA
Rfam family: Bacterial small subunit ribosomal RNA
Source: RNAcentral
UACGAAGGGGGCUAGCGUUACUCGGAUUGACUGGGCGUAAAGGGCGCGUAGGCGGUUCGUACAGUCAGACGUGAAAUUCCUGGGCUCAACCUGGGGGCUGCGUUUGAUACGUGCGGGCUUGAGUUCGGAAGAGGGUCGUGGAAUUCCCAGUGUAGAGGUGAAAUUCGUAGAUAUUAGGAAGAACACCAGUGGCGAAGGCGGCCAACUGGCCCGAUACUGACGCUCAUGUGCGAAAGCGUGGGGAGCAAACAGG